This 468-nucleotide long non-coding RNA is filed under the name Lactuca sativa (garden lettuce). RNAcentral describes it as "long non-coding RNA (LSAT_LNC006128)". The record is from RNAcentral. Lineage: Eukaryota; Viridiplantae; Streptophyta; Magnoliopsida; Asterales; Asteraceae.
GUUCUAAAGUGUUGUUCAAUGCAUCUUUAUUGGUUACAUCUUCCUUAGUGUCAACGGAAUUAGCCACAACUUUUUCACUGAUUUCAUCUUCCUUAGUUCCAAAUCUAUGAAUGUUUAUAUGUUAAUGAAAAUAGAUAUGAAAAAAACCUUUAUAAUGAUAUUCUCAUUCUGGAGUGUUGUGUUAAGAAAGAGUGGAUUCCCUUUAGGUAAAGUUUUCUCUUCACUUAACAUGUAUUAGUAAUCAUCUGUCAAAAAGAUCAACAAUCAUAACCUGAGAGUGAGAGUGUGAGACAACAUAACACAUUGUCUAUAUUUCCUUACAUGUGAUGUGAUUUGUUGAAUAUAAAAAAAUAAUGAAAUUACAAAAAGUAUUUGGAACUUUGAGAAGUUGAACAUAUACCUGACAACUCAAUAUAUGAUUCUUGGCUUGCUCUUUAUCCAUUCCACUCUAACCAUCCAAUAGAGAAG